CGGGUGAGUAACGCGUAGAUAAUCUAUCCUUACAUUUGGGGUAACAUCGGGAAACUGGUGCUAAUACCGAAUGGUCUUCAUUGCUUUGGGGCGAUGGAGUAAAGGUGGCCUCUUCAUGAAAGCUACCGUGUAGGGAUGAGCCUGCGUACCAUUAGCUAGUAGGUGGGGUAAUGGCCCACCUAGGCUACGAUGGUUAGCGGGUCUGAGAGGAUGAUCCGCCACACUGGAACUGAAACGACGGGACCAG
This 247-nucleotide ribosomal RNA is filed under the name uncultured bacterium. RNAcentral's name for it is "partial 16S ribosomal RNA". It matches the Rfam family "Bacterial small subunit ribosomal RNA", at positions 103 to 334 of the family's 1533-position model. The record is from RNAcentral.